AUGGGAACGCGAAGAACCUUACCUAGACUUGACAUCUCCUGAAUAGUGUAGAGAUACAUGAAGCCCUUCGGGGCAGGAAGACAGGUGGUGCAUGGUUGUCGUCAGCUCGUGUCGUGAGAUGUUGGGUUAAGUCCCGCAACGAGCGCAACCCUUAUUACUAGUUGCUACCAUUAAGUUGAGCACUCUAGUGAGACUGCCCGGGUUAACCGGGAGGAAGGCGGGGAUGACGUCAAAUCAUCAUGCCCCUUAUGUCUAGGGCAACACACGUGCUACAAUGGUGAGUACGGAUAGAUGCGAUACCGCAAGGUGGAGCCAAACUCUAAAACUCAUCCCAGUUCGGAUUGUAGGCUGCAACUCGCCUACAUGAAGUUGGAGUUGCUAGUAAUCGCGAAUCAGAAUGUCGCGGUGAAUACGUUCCCGGGUCUUGUACACACCG
This 436-nucleotide ribosomal RNA is filed under the name uncultured bacterium. RNAcentral's name for it is "bacterial SSU rRNA". It matches the Rfam family "Bacterial small subunit ribosomal RNA", at positions 954 to 1392 of the family's 1533-position model. The record is from RNAcentral.